RNAcentral lists this ribosomal RNA (404 nucleotides) under Actinomycetes bacterium. RNAcentral describes it as "Actinobacteria bacterium partial 16S ribosomal RNA". It matches the Rfam family "Bacterial small subunit ribosomal RNA", at positions 355 to 776 of the family's 1533-position model. The record is from RNAcentral. Lineage: Bacteria; Bacillati; Actinomycetota; Actinomycetes.
UGGGGAAUAUUGGACAAUGGGCGCAAGCCUGAUCCAGCCAUGCCGCGUGAGUGAUGAAGGCCCUAGGGUUGUAAAGCUCUUUCACCGGUGAAGAUAAUGACGGUAACCGGAGAAGAAGCCCCGGCUAACUUCGUGCCAGCAGCCGCGGUAAUACGAAGGGGGCUAGCGUUGUUCGGAUUUACUGGGCGUAAAGCGCACGUAGGCGGACUAUUAAGUCAGGGGUGAAAUCCCGGGGCUCAACCCCGGAACUGCCUUUGAUACUGGUAGUCUUGAGUUCGAGAGAGGGGGGUGGAAUUCCGAGUGUAGAGGUGAAAUUCGUAGAUAUUCGGAGGAACACCAGUGGCGAAGGCGGCUCACUGGCGCGAUACUGACGCUGAGGUGCGAAAGCGUGGGGAGCAAACAGG